RNAcentral lists this ribosomal RNA (218 nucleotides) under uncultured bacterium. RNAcentral describes it as "partial 16S ribosomal RNA". It matches the Rfam family "Bacterial small subunit ribosomal RNA", at positions 144 to 354 of the family's 1533-position model. The record is from RNAcentral.
UAACACCUGGAAACAGAUGCUAAUACCGGAUAACAACACUAGACGCAUGUCUAGAGUUUAAAAGAUGGUUCUGCUAUCACUCUUGGAUGGACCUGCGGUGCAUUAGCUAGUUGGUAAGGCAACGGCUUACCAAGGCAAUGAUGCAUAGCCGAGUUGAGAGACUGAUCGGCCACAUUGGGACUGAGACACGGCCCAAACUCCUACGGGAGGCAGCAGGC